UCUCCGUUGGUGAACCAGCGGAGGGAUCAUUGCAGAGUUGAGAGACUCCAAACCAUCGCGAACCUACCACUACGUUGCCUCGGCGGGCAGCUCCAGGGCGGAGCCGCCAGCCCCCCUCGGGGGGGUGCCCGCCGAAGGGCCCCAAACCAUGUCGUAUCUAGGCUGCUCUAAGUACCUGCGAACGCAGUUAAAACUUUCAACAAUGGAUCUCUUGGCUCUGGCAUCGAUGAAGAACGCAGC
RNAcentral lists this unclassified non-coding RNA (240 nucleotides) under uncultured fungus. RNAcentral's name for it is "sequence contains ITS1, 5.8S rRNA gene". The stretch from base 192 to 240 matches the Rfam family "5.8S ribosomal RNA", at positions 1 to 49 of the family's 154-position model. The record is from RNAcentral. Lineage: Eukaryota; Fungi.